This 352-nucleotide long non-coding RNA is filed under the name Gorilla gorilla gorilla (western lowland gorilla). RNAcentral's name for it is "lncRNA (ENSGGOG00000044590.1)". The record is from RNAcentral. Lineage: Eukaryota; Metazoa; Chordata; Mammalia; Primates; Hominidae.
CCACAAACCACUGCCAGAUGAAGCUUCUGAAAGCAAUGCUCUAGCCGGCUUGUAUUUUUUGCUCGGAAACCUUGCGUGGCUUCGCUUGUCUACGGAAUUCAGUACUGAAUCAAUUAAGAGGAUUCUGAGCAACAAAGCAAAGAUGAAGAGCUGACCAAGCAAUCAAAAAAGACUUGGAAGAAAACAAGAAAUGCCAAGGCAGAAUUUCUUGAGCUGUGAUUCUCAAACCACCUAGAUCAUAAAGAUAUAAAGGGCACUGUUAUAAAAGCAGAUUCUGGGGCUCUACCUCAGAUCCACUGAACCAGAACGUCUUUCAGGAGGAUGAGGAGUUUUCAGUAAGUUCAGUGGGCAU